This is a regulatory RNA element of Camelus ferus (Wild Bactrian camel), 46 nucleotides long. It matches the Rfam family "Histone 3' UTR stem-loop". Rfam says of the family: The mRNAs of metazoan histone genes lack a poly-A tail. Lineage: Eukaryota; Metazoa; Chordata; Mammalia; Artiodactyla; Camelidae. The record is from Rfam.
CCAAAGGCUCUUUUCAGAGCCACCUAUAGUUUCAUCUUGAGGAGCU